Syngnathus acus (greater pipefish) is the source of this 1440-nucleotide long non-coding RNA. RefSeq lists it as uncharacterized. The record is from RefSeq and is a predicted model, not a curated record. The transcript is spliced from 3 exons. NCBI's taxonomy places the organism in Eukaryota, Metazoa, Chordata, Actinopteri, Syngnathiformes, Syngnathidae.
GCUGUCCUCUCUGAGGCAGGACCCGUGCUUAGCACCAGCGUCGGGCAACAGGGGUUGGCCAAAGGAAUACUGAUUGCGUGGAGUGAACAGUAAAUAUGUCAAAGAAAGCCCUGUUGUGCGUGAUUACUAAUUUCAGUUUGGCAAGGUCACAGCUAAUUUGCUAAGCCACGAAGAGCGAUACGGCAAAGAGGUUUUUUGAUUGGCCCUGCUGCAAGGCCUGGCCGUCUCCGUGACUUUUCAGCCCGGGCGAGAAUCACAAAACAGCUCGACUGCGUGUCUCCGAGUCAAAAUGUCUCCUUGCUGCAGAGGAACCAUUAAAAAGUGCUUCCCGACUGUGUGCUCAUCUGCUCCACUUUCCAAAUCAUCCCAGCAGACUCCAACGCCUCACCGCUCACAUCCACCCUGUCAAUCAACAAUUGUGCUCCGUCACUUCCCUAUAGCGAGCCAAUGAGCUCGCCUCCCACUCGAGAUGACUGACUGACAGCUCGGCAGCGUCUGCAGCAUCCAUCCGAAGAUGAACUUGAAAAAAUGGUUACAAUAAAGGCUUACAGGUCCAAAUAUUUGGUAAUCCUGCAUCAUUUAAUUACAGAAAACAAAACAAAACUAAAACUGCAUGAUUACAAUAUUAGCGUGAAAGAAAAACCUCUUUUUUCAGUAUCACACACUGUUCACCUCGAAAUUAAUUCACAGCUAUAACCGAGGAAGUGAAGGAUUUAUAACUUUUUAUCCCCUGCACUUUUUCCACCCGACAAAACAAAAUAAGCCUCUACAUAAAUCUCUUACGGUGAUAUUGAUCAAAUAAUAAAAUGAGUGUAUUUGCCAACAUCUUGGACCCAAGGGCAUUAAGGUGCUACUGGUAAACGCACGCUCGCUCAGUAAUGCUGUAAUAUACAGCAGAUAUAACUGAUGGGAGCGCUGGAGGACUGUUUGGGUUUUGCACCAAUAAAAAUGUUUUAUUCUACUCAAAGAAAGUUGUUGGGCCAUUGUAUAUGGCGGGGAAUUGGAAACUGUUUGCCAUUCGCAAAUGAAUAGCCUUGAUUUGUUCCAGUGAUGAAAAUCACAUCAACCUUGUCUUCUUGCUUGCCAUAUUCUUUGACUCUGAAUCUCUCGUGUAGCGUACGGCAUUGUUAGCGCUAAUUAACCCCGAACCUAGUAAGCCGUAUGAGUUUGUUGUACGACAGCUACACUGAAGUGCAAUUAGCAAAAUGAAUGCAAAUCUGUAUUGCUUGUUAAAUACUCUUUUAAAAGUUCUGUUCCUGAAGCCCGCUCAUAUUCAUUUCCAGCAUGUCGAUUUUCAACACCUUAUUUAAUUAUAUCUGUUGUAUAAUUUGUGCUUGACUAAACGCAUCCUGUCCUUGGCAGUGGAGAUACGUGCAGCCCACUACUACAUUAGGUUUGUGGGAGUUUUGAGGACGGAGGCCCAAAAAUGGAGAGAACACC